RNAcentral lists this ribosomal RNA (429 nucleotides) under Verrucomicrobiota bacterium. Its description in RNAcentral is "Verrucomicrobia bacterium partial 16S ribosomal RNA". It matches the Rfam family "Bacterial small subunit ribosomal RNA", at positions 355 to 776 of the family's 1533-position model. Lineage: Bacteria; Pseudomonadati; Verrucomicrobiota. The record is from RNAcentral.
UAGGGAAUCUUCCGCAAUGGACGAAAGUCUGACGGAGCAACGCCGCGUGAGUGAAGAAGGAUUUCGGUUCGUAAAACUCUGUUGUUAGGGAAGAAAAAAUGUAUAGUAACUAUAUACAAAAGAGACGGUACCUAACCAGAAAGCCACGGCUAACUGCGUGCCAGCAGCCGCGGUAAUACGUAGGUGGCAAGCGUUGUCCGGAAUUAUUGGGCGUAAAGCGCGCGCAGGUGGUUUAGAAAGUCUGAUGUGAAAGCCCACGGCUCAACCGUGGAGGGUCAUUGGAAACUAAUAAACUUGAGUGCAGGAGAGAAAAGUGGAAUUCCUAGUGUAGCGGUGAAAUGCGUAGAGAUUAGGAGGAACACCGGUGGCGAAAGCGGCUUUUUGGCCUGCAACUGACACUGAGGCGCGAAAGCGUGGGGAGCAAACAGG